CGGAGGUAGAGAUGGGGGUAGAGGUGGUUAUGAUAGUGGUAGGAAUAACAACUAUGAUGGAGGCAGAGGUGGAAACAAUGAUAAUAGAAGCAGUGGUAGUAGAGGUGGUUCUUAUGGAAGUAGUCAAGGGGUAGAAGAUAGUGGGUAUGGUCAAGUUCCUCCUCCAGCACCCAAUUCUUAUGGUGGGAAUUAUCCACCUGCUCCUAAUACAUAUGGUGGGAAUGCAAAUUAUGGAAUGGAUUCAGUCCCUCCACCUACAAGCUAUACUGGUGGACCUACAUCAUACCCUCCAUCUUAUGGUGGCCCUGCGGGUGGCUAUGCUGGUGAGGGUUUGAGUGAUGCACGGACUGGUGGUCGUGGUGGACCUCCUGGUGGAUAUGACGGUGGGUAUGGUUCUGGUGGUCCUCGAAAUCAGGGAGGUGGUUAUGGUGGUCCUCCUGUUGAAGCUCCAGCUAAGAUCAAGCAGUGUGACGGCAACUGUGGGGAUUCUUGCGACAACUCAAGAAUAUACAU
Molecule: long non-coding RNA, 513 nt
Filed under: Gossypium barbadense (sea-island cotton)
Lineage: Eukaryota; Viridiplantae; Streptophyta; Magnoliopsida; Malvales; Malvaceae
Description: long non-coding RNA (GBAR_LNC015135)
Source: RNAcentral